CCUACGGGAGGCAGCAGUGGGGGAUAUUGCACAAUGGGCGAAAGCCUGAUGCAGCGACGCCGCGUGAGGGAAGACGGUCUUCGGAUUGUAAACCUCUGUCUAUGGGGAAGAAAAUGACGGUACCCAAAGAGGAAGCUCCGGCUAACGACGUGCCAGCAGCCGCGGUAAUACGGAGGGAGCAAUCGUUGUCCGGAAUGACUGGGUGUACAGGGAGCGGAGGCGGGAUGGCAAGUAGAAUGUUAAAUCCCUCGGCUCACCCGGUGGCUGCGUUCUAAACUGCCGUUCUUGAGUGCAGUAGAGGCAGGCGGAAUUCCUAGUGUAGCCGUUACAUGCGUAGAUAUUAGGAGGAACCCCAGUGGCGAAGGCGGCCUGCUGGGCUUUACCUGACGCUGAGGCUCGAAAGCGUGGGGAGCAAACAGGAUUAGAUACCCGUGUAGUC
Molecule: ribosomal RNA, 439 nt
Filed under: uncultured bacterium
Lineage: Bacteria
Description: partial 16S ribosomal RNA
Rfam family: Bacterial small subunit ribosomal RNA
Source: RNAcentral